RNAcentral lists this ribosomal RNA (497 nucleotides) under uncultured bacterium. RNAcentral's name for it is "partial 16S ribosomal RNA". It matches the Rfam family "Bacterial small subunit ribosomal RNA", at positions 28 to 507 of the family's 1533-position model. The record is from RNAcentral.
GAUGAACGCUGGCGGCGUGCCUAAUACAUGCAAGUCGAGCGAACAGAUAAGGAGCUUGCUCCUUUGACGUUAGCGGCGGACGGGUGAGUAACACGUGGGUAACCUACCUAUAAGACUGGAAUAACUCCGGGAAACCGGGGCUAAUGCCGGAUAACAUUUAGAACCGCAUGGUUCUAAAGUGAAAGAUGGUUUUGCUAUCACUUAUAGAUGGGCCCGCGCCGUAUUAGCUAGUUGGUAAGGUAACGGCUUACCAAGGCAACGAUACGUAGCCGACCUGAGAGGGUGAUCGGCCACACUGGAACUGAGACACGGUCCAGACUCCUACGGGAGGCAGCAGUAGGGAAUCUUCCGCAAUGGGCGAAAGCCUGACGGAGCAACGCCGCGUGAGUGAUGAAGGUCUUCGGAUCGUAAAACUCUGUUAUUAGGGAAGAACAAAUGUGUAAGUAACUGUGCACGUCUUGACGGUACCUUAUCAGAAAGCCACGGCUAACUACGUG